This 1261-nucleotide long non-coding RNA is filed under the name Androctonus crassicauda. Lineage: Eukaryota; Metazoa; Arthropoda; Arachnida; Scorpiones; Buthidae. The record is from RNAcentral.
AUCGUAAUAUUAUGAAAUAACUAUAACAUAUGGAAGUCGAAAGAUUUUAUUUGAAGCAUUUUUAUUAAUUAAAAUAAUCGUAAAUGCCGAUAUGGUGAAACAUUUUCGAGACUCAGCUCUUGAACCAGUAUAUUCAUGGUUCCUCGCUCCUCACGACGUCGAAUCCAGAUUCUGUCAAUUCCUUGAUACCUUUUGAGAAGUGAACUGCCUUCUUCCGUGCAAAUAGUAACACACACUGCUAACAAGAUAUCGUCUUCGAUCUCUUCGUCUGUCAUGAUGUCAACAAACGAGGAGGCGGUGCGAGAGAAAGGAUAUCUAAAUUAAUUGGUGGGUUGUAAAACCUCACUAUAUUUCAUUUGGGCAUGUCUGCCGGAUAAAUCGUUCUAGCAAUCUGCUUACGAUCUAAUGACGUCACAUCAUAGGCAACCUGGUCAACUAGUUUGCUACCGACCUUGAAUCCAGGGCUGGCGCUAGGUUGGACGUUACCGGCCUGUAAAGCUGAAAUGAGCGCCUCCAAACAAAUGCCAAUUUAUUUAUUUAUAAAAAUGAAAAAUAAUAUUAGCACUUCGAAACGGUGCCUACCUUGUAGUGGCGUCAAUCUGCAAUGUGGCCUUCAUUAUUCUACAACUUACACUUCUGGAAAGAACUAAUCGUACUAUUCUCCGAAAGUAUUCUUUAUUGUGGAACGAUUAAAGAUAAAGCAUUCAAGUAUAUGACAUCAAUAUCCUCUUCAAUGACAAAAAUUUAUAUUUUAUUUACAGAGAAAUUUCAAAAUAUUGAACGAUCGCCAUCUUUAAACAACUUUAGCAAAAGGUCUAAUUGACGUAUCAUAAGAAAUCCUCUUCAGUGACUCGACCUCCUCGUUAAAUUUCAUAAAAAUUUAAUAAAUGGUUUAGGAUACAUUACGGAAGAAUCUCAACUACCAUUUUUAAACUAUUAUACCAGAGUAAACGAUUGUUGUGGCAACGAGAUUGUUUUUGAUAUCAGAAUAAUACUUCCAAAUUUCACGAAAAUAUCCUAAUUAAACCAAGUUAUUAAUAGCUAUACACAGGCCACAGACAACAUGGUGAUCGUUUAAGUCCCAUUUUUCUUCUGAAAGCAAGUUAAGAAAAGUACGGUUUGCAUAUUCUACAAUUAAAAGUAAGACUGUACAAAGACAAUAACAAACUUCUAUUAUUCUGAAAAUUUAUUACUAUAGCUGCAUUAUGUUUAUUACUACUGAACAAUUUCCAUUUUUAAUUCUAGAAACUAGAACAGGGAC